This 465-nucleotide ribosomal RNA is filed under the name uncultured bacterium. RNAcentral's name for it is "partial 16S ribosomal RNA". It matches the Rfam family "Bacterial small subunit ribosomal RNA", at positions 338 to 795 of the family's 1533-position model. The record is from RNAcentral.
CCUACGGGAUGCUGCAGUGGGGAAUUUUGCGCAAUGCUCGUAAGAGUGACGCAGCGACGCCGCGUGACUGAAGAAGGCCUUCGGGUCGUAAAGUACUUUCGUCCGGGAAGAAAAUGCCUAUAAGUAUCUGUAUAUGUGUUGACGGUACCUGAAUAAUCAGCCCCGGCUAACUGCGUGCCAGCAGCCGCGGUAAUACGGAGGGUGCGAGCGUUGUUCGGAGUGACUGGGCGUAAAGCGCACGUAGACGGUUACUUAAGUCAGAAGUGAAAGACCAGAGCUCAACUUGGGAAAGGCUAGCGAUACUGUGUGACUAGAGUGUGUCAGAGGGAUGUAGAAUUCCACGUGUAGCAGUGAAAUGCGUAGAUAUGUGGAGGAAUACCGUUGGCGAAGGCGGCCACCUGGCUUAACACUGACGUUGAGGCUCGAAAGCGUGGGUAGCAAACAGGAUUAGAUACCCGAGUAGUC